AAGUCGUAACAAGGUUUCCGUAGGUGAACCUGCGGAAGGAUCAUUAUUACGUAUCCACGUAUCAAACCAAAUCGUGAACUGUUUCCCGUCUGAUGAGGAUUUCUGCGAGUGUUUGAACAUUUAUUAAUUGCAUGGUGAGGACUCCUAGUCGCAAGACUGGUUUCUUCGAAAUGGCACUCGGUCCUGGUUGCCCUCUCGGGGCUUCAGCCAGCUCAUUAGAUGUGGUUGAAUUUCAAUCACUAUGCUAAAACUAUUAACCCCUUGUAAAACACUUGAACUAAAUUACGGAGACCAAGACCCUUAACCAGGAAACUAUCUCUGAUAAACCGAAACUUAAGAAACAACUCUUAACAACGGAUAUCUUGGUUCUC
RNAcentral lists this unclassified non-coding RNA (371 nucleotides) under fungal sp. RNAcentral describes it as "partial internal transcribed spacer region". The stretch from base 1 to 46 matches the Rfam family "Eukaryotic small subunit ribosomal RNA", at positions 1786 to 1831 of the family's 1831-position model. The record is from RNAcentral. Lineage: Eukaryota; Fungi.